UAGUCUCGCACAGAUGCAUAUCAAUAAGCGGAGGAAAAGAAACUAACAAGGAUUCCCCUAGUAACGGCGAGUGAAGCGGGAAGAGCUCAAAUUUGAAAUCUUAAAGGGUUUCCCUUUACGAAUUGUAGUUUAAAGAAGUGUUUUCUGUUGAGGUCUUGGUAAAAGUUCUUUGGAAUAGGACAUCAUAGAGGGUGAGAAUCCCGUAUUUGACCUUUACUUUCAACUUUGUGAUACACUUUCAAAGAGUCGGAUUGUUUGGGAAUGCAGUCCAAAAUGGGUGGUAAAUUUCAUCUAAAGCUAAAUAUUGGCGAGAGACCGAUAGCGAACAAGUACCGUGAGGGAAAGAUGAAAAGAACUUUGAAAAGAGAGUUAAACAGUACGCUGAAAUUGUCAAAAGGGAAGCGUUUGACACCAGUGUUGUUUUUCUGAAAAUCAAUUAAAGAACUGUUUAUGCUAAGUUGUUUAGACUUUAUCAGCUAACUGUUUAGUUUUGAGCUUUUCUUUAAUGCACUUUUCAGUUAACAAGUCAACAUCAAUUUCUUUUGCUGUAAAAAAGCUUGAGGAAGGUGGCUUGAGAUUCGUCUUAAGUGUUUAUAGCCUCUUGCCUAUGCAGUCGGAGAGAUUGAGGUCUGCAGCGUAGAUCCUUCGGGGCUAAAUGCAUUUGUGCUAAGUUAUAGCAUUUUAUAGACAACUUGUUGACUAUGAUUUGUCUUGUAGCUUACUCGCUUAUGUUAUUUUACCUACGCUUAGGAUGUUGACAGCAGUAUAGACUGU
RNAcentral lists this ribosomal RNA (774 nucleotides) under uncultured Neocallimastigales. RNAcentral describes it as "partial large subunit ribosomal RNA". It matches the Rfam family "Eukaryotic large subunit ribosomal RNA", at positions 24 to 637 of the family's 3401-position model. Lineage: Eukaryota; Fungi; Neocallimastigomycota; Neocallimastigomycetes; Neocallimastigales. The record is from RNAcentral.